CAGUCGAACGGGGGCAGGAGGAAACCUAGUGAAUCCUGCCCUAGUGGCGGACGGGUGAGUAACGCGUGGGCAACCUGCCGCAUACCGGGGGAUAACACUUAGAAAUAGGUGCUAAUACCGCAUAAGCGCACAGAGCCGCAUGGCUUGGUGUGAAAAACUCCGGUGGUAUGCGAUGGGCCCGCGUCUGAUUAGCUUGUUGGCGGGGCAGCGGCCCACCAAGGCGACGAUCAGUAGCCGGCCUGAGAGGGUGGACGGCCACAUUGGGACUGAGACACGGCCCAGACUCCUACGGGAGGCAGCAGUGGGGAAUAUUGCACAAUGGGGGGAACCCUGAUGCAGCGACGCCGCGUGAGUGAAGAAGUAUUUCGGUAUGUAAAGCUCUAUCAGCAGGGAAGAAAAUGACGGUACCUGACUAAGAAGCCCCGGCUAACUACGUGCCAGCAGCCGCGGUAAUACGUAGGGGGCAAGCGUUAUCCGGAUUUACUGGGUGUAAAGGGAGCGUAGACGGCAAGGCAAGCCUGGAGUGAAAGGCGGGGGCCCAACCCCCGGACUGCUCUGGGAACUGUCUAGCUAGAGUGCAGGAGGGGUAAGUGGAAUUCCUAGUGUAGCGGUGAAAUGCGUAGAUAUUAGGAGGAACACCAGUGGCGAAGGCGGCUUACUGGACUGUAACUGACGUUGAGGCUCGAAAGCGUGNGGAGCAAACAGGAUUAGAUACCCUGNUAGUCCACGCCGUAAACGAUGAUCACUAGGUGUCGGGUGUUAAGGAACGCUCGGUGCCG
Molecule: ribosomal RNA, 779 nt
Filed under: uncultured bacterium
Lineage: Bacteria
Description: bacterial SSU rRNA
Rfam family: Bacterial small subunit ribosomal RNA
Source: RNAcentral